Long non-coding RNA from Ostrea edulis (European flat oyster), 1189 nucleotides. RefSeq lists it as uncharacterized. The record is from RefSeq and is a predicted model, not a curated record. Lineage: Eukaryota; Metazoa; Mollusca; Bivalvia; Ostreida; Ostreidae. The transcript is spliced from 3 exons.
UUUUCACCUAAUGUUUAUACUAGAUGUUAUCGUGCGCCUUCUUUUGUGAUUUCUUCUCAACACCAAGACCAACUGUAUUUGCCAUUGUCUUCAUUAUAGAUGAAAAGUUGUCCUCGCCAACUAAUUGUGAUAUAAAUAGAUCAUGGAUUUAGGAUUAUCAUUGUAUGUAGCUGAAUAUGCUUUAUGUCAACCUGCCUCGAAAUAAGCCAAACUCAUAUAAGAAAGAUGACGUUUGGAAUAAUAUUUCUGUUCUUGGUCACGCGCUGCAGUUUCACAUAUGGAUUAACGCCCUGUAUUGGAACUGGAAACAUGUUUACUGUUUAUCAGGGGACUGGGAACUUGUGUAUCAUGCAGUAAGUGGCAACGGACAAAAUUUCAUGGACACCUGGCAGAAAAGAUUCACUAAAAAGUGCGAGCUCUUUACCGACAAUUGUCAAUGCUAUUAGAUGGAGGGUUGUCUGUCGCCAAAUCUGCGGAUGGAAACGCUGGGUGUCACCCCAAGGAAAAUCGUUAGAAGUCCAAAAUUGAUUAUUGACCUUGUCUCAAUAUUCGAAAGGUGAAUUCGACGGAAAAGCAUUAAGUUAGUGGAUAUUGACAUGUUUUACAAAUUCACAAGACCGACUUUCACUAGACAUGGUAUACAAGUGUACAAUCUUAUGAUUGUAUUGAUAUUUUAUUGUGCGAUUCCAUUCAAGCCCACCAAAAUUCAUUUCACAUUUAUAUGAAUAUCAUCACUUCUACUGUUCUGAAGAGAAUAAAAUGUGUUAUCCAAGAUAACUUUCGCCCAUGAAAAUAAUGCUUCUUAUCUAUAAUGUGCAAAUUCUUAUUAAAGGUUAAAAUUGAGUUGAAUAAAGGAAGCAAAACCGUGGCAUUUAUUGAAUUCAAUGGAAAAGGAUCCAACUACAUGAACUGGUUCCACCGAAGCAGAGUAAUAAAGUCCAGCUGGAUAUCAUUUCUUAAAUGAACUUCUUGUCCCAAAUCAUAAAAUGAAGUCCGUAAUAGCUCCAAAUGACUGAAAUUUGUAAAACCGUCUGUACUUUCACUAUCACAGCCAUUACGUUAGUUACUACUAAUUACCCAAAAAGGAUGGGAGGAACUAUAUAAUGAUAUAUAGACCCAAAUACUAAUAUUUAUCAAUAUUGAUUCAUUAUAGUACAUAAAUUAUGCUAAUAACAAGUAUUUAUGAAUA